RNAcentral lists this ribosomal RNA (1465 nucleotides) under Dechloromonas sp. RNAcentral's name for it is "bacterial SSU rRNA". It matches the Rfam family "Bacterial small subunit ribosomal RNA". Lineage: Bacteria; Pseudomonadati; Pseudomonadota; Betaproteobacteria; Rhodocyclales; Azonexaceae. The record is from RNAcentral.
AUGCCUUACACAUGCAAGUCGAACGGCAGCACGGGAGCAAUCCUGGUGGCGAGUGGCGAACGGGUGAGUAAUGUAUCGGAACGUACCUUUCAGUGGGGGAUAACGUAGCGAAAGUUACGCUAAUACCGCAUAUUCUGUGAGCAGGAAAGCAGGGGAUCGCAAGACCUUGCGCUGAUUGAGCGGCCGAUAUCAGAUUAGCUAGUUGGUGAGGUAAAGGCUCACCAAGGCGACGAUCUGUAGCGGGUCUGAGAGGAUGAUCCGCCACACUGGAACUGAGACACGGUCCAGACUCCUACGGGAGGCAGCAGUGGGGAAUUUUGGACAAUGGGCGCAACCCUGAUCCAGCCAUGCCGCGUGAGUGAAGAAGGCCUUCGGGUUGUAAAGCUCUUUCAGCCGGGAAGAAAACGCAUGGGUUAAUACCCUGUGUGGAUGACGGUACCGGAAUAAGAAGCACCGGCUAACUACGUGCCAGCAGCCGCGGUAAUACGUAGGGUGCGAGCGUUAAUCGGAAUUACUGGGCGUAAAGCGUGCGCAGGCGGUUUGUUAAGAUAGGCGUGAAAUCUCCGGGCUCAACCUGGGAACUGCGUUUAUGACUGGCAGGCUAGAGUAUGGCAGAGGGGGGUGGAAUUCCACGUGUAGCAGUGAAAUGCGUAGAGAUGUGGAGGAACACCGAUGGCGAAGGCAGCCCCCUGGGCCAAUACUGACGCUCAUGCACGAAAGCGUGGGUAGCAAACAGGAUUAGAUACCCUGGUAGUCCACGCCCUAAACGAUGUCAACUAGGUGUUGGGAGGGUAAAACCUUUUAGUACCGGAGCUAACGCGUGAAGUUGACCGCCUGGGGAGUACGGCCGCAAGGUUAAAACUCAAAGGAAUUGACGGGGACCCGCACAAGCGGUGGAUGAUGUGGAUUAAUUCGAUGCAACGCGAAAAACCUUACCUACCCUUGACAUGUCCGGAAGCCCUUAGAGAUUUGGGUGUGCUCGAAAGAGAGCCGGAACACAGGUGCUGCAUGGCUGUCGUCAGCUCGUGUCGUGAGAUGUUGGGUUAAGUCCCGCAACGAGCGCAACCCUUGUCGUUAAUUGCCAUCAUUUAGUUGGGCACUUUAACGAGACUGCCGGUGACAAACCGGAGGAAGGUGGGGAUGACGUCAAGUCCUCAUGGCCCUUAUGGGUAGGGCUUCACACGUCAUACAAUGGUCGGUACAAAGGGUUGCCAACCCGCGAGGGGGAGCCAAUCCCAGAAAGCCGAUCGUAGUCCGGAUUGUAGGCUGCAACUCGCCUGCGUGAAGUCGGAAUCGCUAGUAAUCGUGGAUCAGCAUGUCACGGUGAAUACGUUCCCGGGUCUUGUACACACCGCCCGUCACACAAUGGGAGCGGGUUCCGCCAGAAGUAGGUAGCCUAACCGCAAGGAGGGCGCUUACCACGGCGGGGUUCGUGACUGGGGUGAAGUCGUAACAAGGUAGCCGU